CGGAGGAUCCAAGCGUUAUCCGGAAUCAUUGGGUUUAAAGGGUCCGUAGGCGGGUUUAUAAGUCAGUGGUGAAAGCCCAUCGCUCAACGAUGGAACGGCCAUUGAUACUGUAGAUCUUGAAUUAUUAGGAAGUAACUAGAAUAUGUAGUGUAGCGGUGAAAUGCUUAGAGAUUACAUGGAAUACCAAUUGCGAAGGCAGGUUACUACUAAUGGAUUGACGCUGAUGGACGAAAGCGUGGGUAGCGAACAGGAUUAGAUACCCUGGUAGUCCACGACCGUAAACGAUGGAUACUAGCUGUUCGGAGCAAUCUGAGUGGCUAAGCGUAAAGUGAUAAGUACUCCCAACCGUGGGGAGUACGUUCGACAAGAAUG
This 372-nucleotide ribosomal RNA is filed under the name uncultured organism. RNAcentral's name for it is "bacterial SSU rRNA". It matches the Rfam family "Bacterial small subunit ribosomal RNA", at positions 526 to 896 of the family's 1533-position model. The record is from RNAcentral.